CCUCCAGCUGGUAUAAUAAUAACUCCACUACCAUAGACGUCCCCUCCUCCAGCUGGUAUAAUAAUAACUCCACUACCAUAGACGUCCUCUCCUCCAGCUGGUAUAAUAAUAACUCCACUACCAUAGACGUCCCCUCCUCCAGCUCCCACAGAGUAGGAGUGUAUCUGGACUGGUCAGCCGGCACUCUGUCCUUCUAUAGAGCCUCCUCUGACACACUGACCCACCUGAUCACAUUCACAUUCACUGAGCCCCUCUAUCCAGGAUUUAUGGUUCAUUAUGUUGACUCCUCAGUGUCCCUGAAAUAAUAACUGGACACACACACACACACACACACACACACUGAACACACACACACACACUGAACACACACUGAACACACACACACACACACUGAACACACACACACACACACUGGACACACACACACACACACACACACACUGAACACACACUGAACACACACACACACACUGAACACACACACACUGGACACACACACACACACUGAACACACACUGAACACACACUGAACACACACACACACUGAACACACACACACACACUGGACACACACACACACACACACACACACACUGAACACACACUGAACACACACACACACAUCAACACACACACACACUGAACACACACACACAUGAACACACACACACACACACUGGACACACACACACACACUGGACACACACACACACACACACACACACUGGACUCCACACACACACACACACUGGACUCACACACACACACACUGGACUCACACACACACACUGGACUCACACACACACACUGGACUCACACACACACACACACACACUGGACUCACACACACACACACACUGGACACACACACACACACACUGACACACACACACACACACAUGGACACACACACACACUGGACACACACACACACACACACACUGGACACACACACACACACACACUGGACACACACACACACACACUGGACACACACACACACACACUGGACACACACACACACACACACUGGACACACACACACACACACACACACACACACACACACUGGACAAACACACACACUGGACACACACAAACACACACACACACACACACACACACACACACUGGACACACACAAACACACACACACACACACACACACACACACACACACUGGACACACACAAACACACACACACACACACACUGGACAAACACACACACACACACACACACACACUAGACAAACACACACACACACACACACACACACACACUGGACUCACACACACUGGACACACACACACACACUGGACACACACACUGGACACACACACACACACACACACACAUACACACACAGGACACACUCUCACACACACACACACAUGCGCAUCUUCCUAUAAUUGUGAGGACCUUGACCCACGACCUCUUACAAUAACACCGUUAGUCUUUCCACAAGACUCCCAUGACGUUAUAGUGUGACGUUAUGAGUCGACGUUAAAGUAACAUUCUCACAACGUACUGCACUUGUUUUAUCCUGUUUUAGAUGUAUCCUCUGUUUAAACAUUUAAACUCUUACAAUAACACUGUUAAAAUACCAAUGUGAUCAUUUCUUGUCUUUUAUGUUGGAAAAACAAAUUGUACAAUUAUAUGUGGACAUACGCUCCAUAGUUGUACAAGUAUACAUGGAUAUAUUGUACUUUUCAUAAUAAAACAUACUUGAAACAAGAAAAAGCAUGUUAAUUGUGAAAACAAUUUCGUUAUUGAUUUUUACAUUGCUUCUCCC
This 1795-nucleotide long non-coding RNA is filed under the name Salmo salar (Atlantic salmon). RNAcentral describes it as "lncRNA (ENSSSAG00000107021.1)". Lineage: Eukaryota; Metazoa; Chordata; Actinopteri; Salmoniformes; Salmonidae. The record is from RNAcentral.